Molecule: ribosomal RNA, 253 nt
Filed under: uncultured bacterium
Lineage: Bacteria
Description: partial 16S ribosomal RNA
Rfam family: Bacterial small subunit ribosomal RNA
Source: RNAcentral
UACGGAGGGGGCUAGCGUUGUUCGGCAUUACUGGGCGUAAAGCGCACGUAGGCGGCUUUGCAAGUUAGAGGUGAAAGCCCGGGGCUUAACCCCGGAAUUGCCUUUAAAACUGCAUCGCUAGAAUUGUGGAGAGGUGAGUGGAAUUCCGAGUGUAGAGGUGAAAUUCGUAGAUAUUCGGAAGAACACCAGUGGCGAAGGCGACUCACUGGACACAUAUUGACGCUGAGGUGCGAAAGCGUGGGGAGCAAACAGG